CAGAGGGUGCAAGCGUUGUUCGGAAUUACUGGGCGUAAAGCGCGCGCAGGCGGGUCCUGUAAGUCGGAAGUGAAAUUUCGGAGCUCAACUCCGAAGCUGCUUCUGAUACUGCGGAUCUAGAGACCGGUAGAGGUCGGUGGAAUUACAGGUGUAGCGGUGGAAUGCGUAGAUAUCUGUAAGAACACCCGUGGCGAAGGCGGCCGACUGGGCCGGAUCUGACGCUGAGGCGCGAAAGCGUGGGGAGCAAACAGGAUUAGAUACCCUGGUAGUCCACGCCGUAAACGAUGGGCACUAGGUGCCGGGGGGAGCGACCCCUUCGGUGCCGCAGCUAACGCGAUAAGUGCCCCGCCUGGGGAGUACGGCCGCAAGGCUG
RNAcentral lists this ribosomal RNA (373 nucleotides) under uncultured organism. Its description in RNAcentral is "bacterial SSU rRNA". It matches the Rfam family "Bacterial small subunit ribosomal RNA", at positions 526 to 896 of the family's 1533-position model. The record is from RNAcentral.